GCGGAUGUAGUCGAAUGCUAAAAUUUCUCUUUGCCAAGGAGAAGACGUGAGUUCAAUUCCUGCUAUCUGCC
Molecule: transfer RNA, 71 nt
Filed under: Eucalyptus grandis
Lineage: Eukaryota; Viridiplantae; Streptophyta; Magnoliopsida; Myrtales; Myrtaceae
Rfam family: tRNA
About the family: Transfer RNA (tRNA) molecules are approximately 80 nucleotides in length. Their secondary structure includes four short double-helical elements and three loops (D, anti-codon, and T loops).
Source: Rfam by way of RNAcentral